AUUGAACGCUGGCGGCAGGCCUAACACAUGCAAGUCGAGCGGAUGAAGGGAGCUUGUUCCUGGAUUCAGCGGCGGACGGGCGAGUAAUGCCUAGGAAUCUGCCUGGUAGUGGGGGAUAACGUCCGGAAACGGGCGCUAAUACCGCAUACGUCAUGAGGGUGAAAGUGGGGGAUCUUUGGACCACACGGUAUCAGAUGAGCCUAGGUCGGAUUAGCUAGUUGGUAGGGUAACGGCCUACCAAGGCGACGAUCCGUAACUGGUCUGAGAGGAUGAUCAGUCACACUGGAACUGAGACACGGUCCAGACUCCUACGGGAGGCAGCAGUGGGGAAUAUUGGACAAUGGGCGAAAGCCUGAUCCAGCCAUGCCGCGUGUGUGAAGAAGGUCUUCGGAUUGUAAAGCACUUUAAGUUGGGAGGAAGGGCAGUAAGUGAAUACCUUGCUGUUUUGACGUUACCAACAGAAUAAGCACCGGCUAACUUCGUG
This 484-nucleotide ribosomal RNA is filed under the name uncultured bacterium. RNAcentral describes it as "partial 16S ribosomal RNA". It matches the Rfam family "Bacterial small subunit ribosomal RNA", at positions 30 to 507 of the family's 1533-position model. The record is from RNAcentral.